GAUGAACGCUGGCGGCGUGCCUAAUACAUGCAAGUCGAGCGAACGGACGAGAAGCUUGCUCCUCUGAUGUUAGCGGCGGACGGGCGAGUAAGACGUGGGUAACCUACCUAUCCGACUCGGCGAACUUCGGGAACCCAAGGCUAAUAACGGAUAAUAUUUUUACCCUCAUGGUUCAAAAGUGAAAGACGGUCUUGCUGUCACUUAUAGAUGGAUCCGCGCUGCAUUAGCUAGUUGGGAAGGUAACGGCUUACCAAGGCAACGAUGCAUAGCCGACCUGAGAGGGUGAUAGGCCACACUGGAACUGAGACACGGUCCAGACUCCUACGGGAGGCAGCAGUAGGGAAUCUUCCGCAAUGGGCGAAAGCCUGACGGAGCAACGCCGCGUGAGUGAUGAAGGUCUUCGGAUCGUAAAACUCUGUUAUUAGGGAAGAACAAAUGUGUAAGUAACUGUGCACAUCUUGACGGUACCUAAUCAGAAAGCCACGGCUAACUACGUG
This 497-nucleotide ribosomal RNA is filed under the name uncultured bacterium. Its description in RNAcentral is "partial 16S ribosomal RNA". It matches the Rfam family "Bacterial small subunit ribosomal RNA", at positions 28 to 507 of the family's 1533-position model. The record is from RNAcentral.